CCCUUCUUUCCCAAGCGUUGUCCUUCUUUCUUGGGCGUAAAGCGCUCGUCUUCUUUUCGGUAAGUCGGGUGUGAAACCCCGGGGCUCAACCCGGGGAGGCCAACCGAUACUGCUGUGACUCGAGUUCGGUAGGGGAGCGGGGAAUUCCUGGUGUAGCGGUGAAAUGCGCAGAUAUCAGGAGGAACACCGGUGGCGAAGGCGCCGCUCUGGGCCGAUACUGACGCUGAGGAGCGAAAGCGUGGGGAGCAAACAGG
RNAcentral lists this ribosomal RNA (254 nucleotides) under uncultured bacterium. RNAcentral describes it as "partial 16S ribosomal RNA". It matches the Rfam family "Bacterial small subunit ribosomal RNA", at positions 524 to 776 of the family's 1533-position model. The record is from RNAcentral.